AGUUGAAAGGGCGGCUCUUCUGACAGUUCUGUGCAGGACAUGGAGUGAAAUUUGUUUCUGAAGGUGAGUUUGAGAGUGAAAAAAAGCUGUUGUGGUUCUUGAGGAACACUGGAAUUUGCAAGGGACCACUUCUUGGUGGGAGCCGGAACGUGGUGGAUGCCAGGUGGGGGAGGUGUGGCUCCUGACGGAAGGUGCAGCCCCGGGUUUGGGCCGUUCUCCGGAUAGCGAGAGCUGAACGUGCAGGUCCAGGGCGGGAAAAGAGCAGGUGGUAAGAGAGUCAAGAGACUAUUAAAGAGACGGUUAACAUUCCUUCCUAUAAAGUUAACUAAAUAAACCAUGCAAAACCAGUCAAUGCAACGAUUUCCACUCCAAAGUAAACUUUGAGGUAAACCUAAGAUUUUCUUGGUCUAUUUUUUCAUGAAAAGAAAACUUAUUGGAAUUUUGAUGGGAUAUCAUUAUAUUUAUAAGUGAAUUUUGGAAAAAUGAUUAUCUUUGUAAAGGACCAGGUAGGUGGUGUGGUGGUGAAGGCAGCUAGCUCCAUCCCACAUAGCUGACUGUGAAGUUCAAACCUGGACGUGGCAUUUUGAAAACCAUGCCAGACUUGUGUAUGCAUGCUCAAAACCCCAGGAGGAGAAUAAAGAAGGAAUUGAGGUAUUGUCAUUUCCCCUAGGAGAUACUUCCCCUCCCUCUCUCUCUCUCUUUCUGUGUCUCUCCAGCAAGUGCACAUGCCCUAUAGCAAAAUUUAAACAUAGCGAAAACAUACAUAUAUGUGAUAUAUCACAUGUUAAUCUUGUGUAACUUAUAUUGUGUUUUAUACUAUUUGUUUUAAUUGGACUUAUAAGACAUAGAAUACGGCUAACCUCUAGAAACAACUUCCCCUAUACCUUCCCAUUCAUCUUUUCCAUAAUGACCUCCUGCUUCCUCCACCUUGGUUUCAAAUGUUUGGACUAAUGAGCUCUUAUCAUAGUACAUAAUGUGUGUGAGUUUAUCCCUUUGUUGUGUACAAGGAGAUUGUAGUAUUACUGUAUAUUAUGUAAUGUAUAUAACAUAUAUAUAUAAAAUGCUAUCAUCCAUCAUGUAUUUUCAGUUUCCCAAAAUGUGUACAACUUACACUCCAACUUUAGUUCUGAGAAUUCA
This is a long non-coding RNA of Tupaia belangeri chinensis (Chinese tree shrew), 1137 nucleotides long. RefSeq lists it as uncharacterized. NCBI's taxonomy places the organism in Eukaryota, Metazoa, Chordata, Mammalia, Scandentia, Tupaiidae. The transcript has 4 exons. The record is from RefSeq and is a predicted model, not a curated record.